This 430-nucleotide ribosomal RNA is filed under the name uncultured bacterium. RNAcentral describes it as "bacterial SSU rRNA". It matches the Rfam family "Bacterial small subunit ribosomal RNA", at positions 30 to 507 of the family's 1533-position model. The record is from RNAcentral.
CGAACGCUGGCGGCAGGCCUAACACAUGCAAGUCGAACGGACCCUUCGGGGUUAGUGGCGGACGGGUGAGUAACACGUGGGAACGUGCCUUAGGUUCGGAAUAGCUCCUGGAAACGGGUGGUAAUGCCGAAUGUGCCCUUCGGGGGAAAGAUUUAUCGCCUUUAGAGCGGCCCGCGUCUGAUUAGCUAGUUGGUGGGGUAAUGGCCCACCAAGGCUACGAUCAGUAGCUGGUCUGAGAGGAUGACCAGCCACAUUGGGACUGAGACACGGCCCAAACUCCUACGGGAGGCAGCAGUGGGGAAUCUUGCGCAAUGGGCGAAAGCCUGACGCAGCCAUGCCGCGUGUAUGAUGAAGGUCUUAGGAUUGUAAAAUACUUUCACCGGUGAAGAUAAUGACUGUAGCCGGAGAAGAAGCCCCGGCUAACUUCGUG